UAUGGCCAUAUCACAUUGAAAUACAAAUUCUCAUAUGAUCACCAAAGUUAAGCAACAUUUAGUCUUGUCAGUACCUAGAUGGGUGACUGCUUGGGAAUACCAGGUGCUGUAAG
Non-coding RNA from Acanthosepion pharaonis, 113 nucleotides. NCBI's taxonomy places the organism in Eukaryota, Metazoa, Mollusca, Cephalopoda, Sepiida, Sepiidae. The record is from the annotation of a GenBank genome assembly.